This 252-nucleotide ribosomal RNA is filed under the name uncultured bacterium. Its description in RNAcentral is "partial 16S ribosomal RNA". It matches the Rfam family "Bacterial small subunit ribosomal RNA", at positions 524 to 776 of the family's 1533-position model. The record is from RNAcentral.
UACGUAGGGGGCGAGCGUUGUCCGGAGUUACUGGGCGUAAAGGGCAUGCAGGCGGUCGGACGCGUUUCGGGUGACAGCGGGUGGCUUAACUACCCGAGUGGUCGAAAGACGGUUUGACUUGAGGACGCGAGAGGGACACGGAAUUCCGGGUGGAGUGGUGAAAUGCGUAGAGAUCCGGAGGAACACCGAAGGCGAAGGCAGUGUCCUGGCGCGUAACUGACGCUGAGGUGCGAAAGCCAGGGAGCGAACGGG